CUGCAGCCAUCACUGAUGCUGCGGAUGCUUGAUGGGGAUAAAUGGAGAAAGCCUAAGAGGCUGCAGGCUCUGAGACUGGCUGUGGCCCCAGAUUCUGGCUCAGCAGACAGAGCGCUUAGGCUGCCCUCACUUGACCUGACUGGAGCGACCAUCUUCCACCCUAUGGAGGCUGCCGGCCACUGAGGGCCCCGGGGCGCAGGCAGAGCUGCUGUGAGCUGGGGUGAGAAGGAGAAACUGGCUGUGAGGGGCUGCUGUGCUGUCCUGUCUACCUGCCAUCCUGAGUGUUUGGGAAGCAGCUGGCAAAUGGCUCUGUCUUCAGGCCUCCAACUUGUGGAAGCUGGGGAAGUUGAAGCGUGGAGAGAUUAAGUGUCCAGCCUAAGGCUACAGAGCAAGUGGGCAAAUUGAAAUUUGACCCCAGAACUCUGACUCCAAAGCCUGUGCUCACUCCAUUCUACCGAGCAGCCUCCAAGGAGCACCAGAGGAAGUCGUCGCCGCACCUGGCAGCCUUUCCAUCCUGGGGAAGAAGGGCCACGUCCCGGGCCAUGUCAGGCAGGAGGCCCACAGGAGCCAGCCCUUGCGUGGACCACUGGAUGGAGCCACCACCACAGAAGGGAGAUCUCGUUAUACCAUUCAUUGUCAGAUCAUCUCCCAGGAGCCUCAUUCCUGGGCCCGGGAGGCAGCAUGCUGGUC
RNAcentral lists this long non-coding RNA (690 nucleotides) under Equus caballus (horse). RNAcentral's name for it is "lncRNA (ENSECAG00000058051.1)". Lineage: Eukaryota; Metazoa; Chordata; Mammalia; Perissodactyla; Equidae. The record is from RNAcentral.